UUGGGGUUGGUGACGGUACCUGCAGAAGAAGCGCCGGCUAACUACGUGCCAGCAGCCGCGGUAAUACGUAGGGCGCAAGCGUUAUCCGGAAUUAUUGGGCGUAAAGAGCUCGUAGGCGGUUUGUCGCGUCUGCCGUGAAAGUCCGGGGCUUAACUCCGGAUCUGCGGUGGGUACGGGCAGACUAGAGUGCAGUAGGGGAGACUGGAAUUCCUGGUGUAGCGGUGAAAUGCGCAGAUAUCAGGAGGAACACCGAUGGCGAAGGCAGGUCUCUGGGCUGUAACUGACGCUGAGGAGCGAAAGCAUGGGGAGCGAACAGGAUUAGAUACCCUGGUAGUCCAUGCCGUAAACGUUGGGCACUAGGUGUGGGGGACAUUCCACGUUUUCCGCGCCGUAGCUAACGCAUUAAGUGCCCCGCCUGGGGAGUACGGCCGCAAGGCUAAAACUCAAAGGAAUUGACGGGGGCCCGCACAAGCGGCGGAGCAUGCGGAUUAAUUCGAUGCAACGCGAAGAACCUUACCAAGGCUUGACAUGAACCGGAAUGAUGCAGAGAUGUGUCAGCCACUUGUGGCCGGUUUACAGGUGGUGCAUGGUUGUCGUCAGCUCGUGUCGUGAGAUGUUGGGUUAAGUCCCGCAACGAGCGCAACCCUCGUUCCAUGUUGCCAGCGGGUUAUGCCGGGGACUCAUGGGAGACUGCCGGGGUCAACUCGGAGGAAGGUGGGGACGACGUCAAAUCAUCAUGCCCCUUAUGUCUUGGGCUUCACGCAUGCUACAAUGGCCGGUACAAAGGGUUGCGAUACUGUGAGGUGGAGCUAAUCCCAAAAAGCCGGUCUCAGUUCGGAUUGAGGUCUGCAACUCGACCUCAUGAAGUUGGAGUCGCUAGUAAUCGCAGAUCAGCAACGCUGCGGUGAAUACGUUCCCGGGCCUUGUACACACCGCCCGUCAAGUCACGAAAGUUGGUAACACCCGAAGCCGGUGGCCUAACCCCUUGUGGGAGGGAGCUGUCGAAGGUGGGACCGGCGAUUGGGACUAAGUCGUAACAAGGUAGCCGUACCGGAAGGUGCGGC
Molecule: ribosomal RNA, 1064 nt
Filed under: Arthrobacter sp.
Lineage: Bacteria; Bacillati; Actinomycetota; Actinomycetes; Micrococcales; Micrococcaceae
Description: bacterial SSU rRNA
Rfam family: Bacterial small subunit ribosomal RNA
Source: RNAcentral